CCAGCCGCAGAGCCUAUGUUCUGAACUGCUAACCUCCCCAUGUGCUAAUGUGAGCACAUGUAAGGCAAAUAAAAAUUAUUCCAAGUGACAUGAUUCAGAUUAUAUGAUAGACUCUGGACUUCUUUGUUCAUCCACCCACUUCUGUUCAAGAAUGUAUGUUUGGC
Molecule: long non-coding RNA, 164 nt
Organism: Orcinus orca (killer whale)
Lineage: Eukaryota; Metazoa; Chordata; Mammalia; Artiodactyla; Delphinidae
Exons: 3
Source: RefSeq, a predicted model, not a curated record